GACGAACGCUGGCGGCGUGCUUAGCACAUGCAAGUCGAGCGGUAAGGCCCUUUCGGGGGUACGACGAGCGGCGAACGGGUGAGUAACACGUGGGUGACCUGCCUUUAGCUCUGGGAGUAAGCCUGGGAAACCGGGGUACGUAAUACCGGAUAUGACUCCGCGGCGCAUGUUGUGGGGUGGAAAGCCUUGUGCGGCUGGAGAUGGGCCCGCGGCCUAUCAGCUUGUUGGUGGGGUGAUGGCCUACCAAGGCGACGACGGGUAGCCGGCCUGAGAGGGC
RNAcentral lists this ribosomal RNA (277 nucleotides) under uncultured bacterium. RNAcentral describes it as "partial 16S ribosomal RNA". It matches the Rfam family "Bacterial small subunit ribosomal RNA", at positions 28 to 301 of the family's 1533-position model. The record is from RNAcentral.